UCCGCCCGAGUACUACGAGCAGAAGCUUAAAACUCAAAGGACUUGGCGGUGACUCAGACCCACCUAGAGGAGCCUGUUCUAGAACCGAUACUCCCCGUUCAACCUCACCGCCCCUUGUUAAAUCCGCCUAUAUACCGCCGUCGUCAGCCAACCCUGUGAAGGACUAACAGUAAGCAACAAGGGAUUGCCCACAAACGUCAGGCCGAGGUGUAGCGUAUGGGGCGGAAAGAAAUGGGCUACAUUUUCUAUAAUUAGACCACACGAAAGGCACCUUGAAACAUGUGCCUAAAGGCGGAUUUAGUAGUAAAAAGCAAA
Molecule: ribosomal RNA, 315 nt
Filed under: Gymnorhamphichthys sp.
Lineage: Eukaryota; Metazoa; Chordata; Actinopteri; Gymnotiformes; Rhamphichthyidae
Description: partial 12S ribosomal RNA
Rfam family: Bacterial small subunit ribosomal RNA
Source: RNAcentral